GAUGAACGCUAGCUACAGGCUUAACACAUGCAAGUCGAGGGGUAACAAGAGGAAAGCUUGCUUUCCUUGUUGACGACCGGCGCACGGGUGAGUAACGCGUAUCCAACCUGCCUAUAACUAGGGAAUAACCUUGCGAAAGUAAGACUAAUACCCUAUGAUUUCCUUUGAUGACAUCAGAUUAGGAAUAAAGAUUUAUCGGUUAUAGAUGGGGAUGCGUCUGAUUAGCUUGUUGGCGGGGUAACGGCCCACCAAGGCAACGAUCAGUAGGGGUUCUGAGAGGAAGGUCCCCCACAUUGGAACUGAGACACGGUCCAAACUCCUACGGGAGGCAGCAGUGAGGAAUAUUGGACAAUGGGCGAAAGCCUGAACCAGCCAAGUAGCGUGCAGGAUGACGGCCCUAUGGGUUGUAAACUGCUUUUAUACAGGAAUAAAGUUAGCCACGUGUGGUUAUUUGUAGGUACUGUAUGAAUAAGGACCGGCUAAUUCCGUGCCAGCAGCCGCAGUAA
RNAcentral lists this ribosomal RNA (506 nucleotides) under uncultured bacterium. RNAcentral's name for it is "partial 16S ribosomal RNA". It matches the Rfam family "Bacterial small subunit ribosomal RNA", at positions 28 to 523 of the family's 1533-position model. The record is from RNAcentral.